Molecule: long non-coding RNA, 646 nt
Organism: Oncorhynchus keta (chum salmon)
Lineage: Eukaryota; Metazoa; Chordata; Actinopteri; Salmoniformes; Salmonidae
Exons: 4
Source: RefSeq, a predicted model, not a curated record
GAACUGUACAGUAAUUUACUGUAUUCUUAUCCUAGAUCUGUGCCUAAGGACCUCUACAAUGGCAGAACUGUACAGUACAUUGUUACUACUUUAUUCUAAAUCUAUACAACUAUUGAAACCACUUUAACCCAACACCUAGCAACCUCUUGGCAUGACGGCUAAUUUGUUAGGUUUUAACAGGCUAAUUUGUUAGGUUUUAACAGGCUAAUUUGUUAGGUUUUAACAGGCUAAUUUGUUAGGUUUUAACAGGCUAAUUUGUUAGGUUUUAACAGGCUAAUUUGUUAGGUUUUAACAGGCUAAUUUGUUAGGUUUUAACAGGCUAAUUUGUUAGGUUUUAACAGGCUAAUUUGUUAGGUUUUAACAGGCUAAUUUGUUAGGUUUCAACAGGCUAAUUUGUUAGGUUUUAACAGGCUAAUUUGUUAGGUUUUAACAGGCUAAUUUGUUAGGUUUCAACAGGCUAAUUUGUUAGGUUUUAACAGGCUAAUUUGUUAGGUUUUAACAGGCUAAUUUGUUAGGUUUCAACAGGCUAAUUUGUUAGGUUUUAACAGGCUAAUUUGUUAGGUUUCAACAGGCUAAUUUGUUAGGUUUUAACAGGCUAAUUUGUUAGGUUUCAACAGGCUAAUUUGUUAGGUUUCAACAGGCUAAU